AUCCCCUGCAGCGCCGAUUUGAGGUUCAGCUUGCGGGCGCUCUACAAAUUCCGCUAAAGAGACCGGAAACCCGUUCUC
This 78-nucleotide non-coding RNA is filed under the name Betaproteobacteria bacterium. The record is from RNAcentral. Lineage: Bacteria; Pseudomonadati; Pseudomonadota; Betaproteobacteria.